GACGAACGCUGGCGGCGUGCUUAACACAUGCAAGUCGAACGGUAAGGCCCUUCGGGGUACACGAGUGGCGAACGGGUGAGUAACACGUGGGUGAUCUGCCCUGCACUUCGGGAUAAGCCUGGGAAACUGGGUCUAAUACCGGAUAGGACCACUGCCUGCAUGGGUGGUGGUGGAAAGCUUUUGCGGUGUGGGAUGGGCCCGCGGCCUAUCAGCUUGUUGGUGGGGUGAUGGCCUACCAAGGCGACGACGGGUAGCCGGCCUGAGAGGGUGACCGGCCACACUGGGAGUGAGAUACGGCCCAGACUCCUACGGGAGGCAGCAGUGGGGAAUUUUGGACAAUGGGCGAAAGCCUGAUCCAGCGACGCCGCGUGAAUGAUGAAGGCCUUCGGGUUGUAAAGUUCUUUUGGCAGGGAAGAUAGUGACGGUACCUGCAGAAUAAGCUCCGGCAAACUCUGUGCCAGCCGCCGCGGUAA
This 473-nucleotide ribosomal RNA is filed under the name uncultured bacterium. RNAcentral's name for it is "partial 16S ribosomal RNA". It matches the Rfam family "Bacterial small subunit ribosomal RNA", at positions 28 to 523 of the family's 1533-position model. The record is from RNAcentral.